Molecule: ribosomal RNA, 253 nt
Filed under: uncultured bacterium
Lineage: Bacteria
Description: partial 16S ribosomal RNA
Rfam family: Bacterial small subunit ribosomal RNA
Source: RNAcentral
UACGUAGGGUGCAAGCGUUGUCCGGAAUUAUUGGGCGUAAAGAGCUCGUAGGCGGUUUGUCGCGUCUGCUGUGAAAACUCGGGGCUUAACUCCGGGCCUGCAGUGGGUACGGGCAGACUAGAGUGCGGUAGGGGAGACUGGAAUUCCUGGUGUAGCGGUGAAAUGCGCAGAUAUCAGGAGGAACACCGGUGGCGAAGGCGGGUCUCUGGGCUGUAACUGACGCUGAGGAGCGAAAGCGUGGGUAGCGAACAGG